This is an unclassified non-coding RNA of Chrysemys picta bellii (western painted turtle), 185 nucleotides long. NCBI's taxonomy places the organism in Eukaryota, Metazoa, Chordata, Testudines, Emydidae. The record is from Ensembl.
GUGGUGCCUCGGAGACUGGCGUCCUCUAUUUAUUGUCCGAACAGGGGAAAUGCAGGCCCUGGCAGUUCAAGGUUCCCGUACAGUACCCUACCAACAUUCCUCAGCCCUGCCCUGGAGGGAGCACCUCUCAGGGUGAAAGGGAAGUUCAGGCUCCUACCUUCUGCUCCACUCAAUCCUUGGCUUCU